GAUCAGCCCGCCGCGUGAGCGAUGAAGGCCUUCGGGUUGUAAAGCUCUUUCACCGGGGAAGAUAAUGACGGUACCCGGAGAAGAAGCCCCGGCUAACUUCGUGCCAGCGAGCCGCGGUAAUA
RNAcentral lists this ribosomal RNA (122 nucleotides) under Clostridium butyricum. Its description in RNAcentral is "partial 16S ribosomal RNA". It matches the Rfam family "Bacterial small subunit ribosomal RNA", at positions 385 to 525 of the family's 1533-position model. The record is from RNAcentral. Lineage: Bacteria; Bacillati; Bacillota; Clostridia; Eubacteriales; Clostridiaceae.